UUUGGCAGUGGAGUAGGGCGAGAAGAG
RNAcentral lists this non-coding RNA (27 nucleotides) under Rattus norvegicus (Norway rat). The record is from RNAcentral. Lineage: Eukaryota; Metazoa; Chordata; Mammalia; Rodentia; Muridae.